Molecule: unclassified non-coding RNA, 140 nt
Filed under: soil metagenome
Description: partial internal transcribed spacer 1
Source: RNAcentral
UAAUAAGUGCUUUUAUGGCACUUUUAAAUCCAAUCCACCUUGUGUGGCAAGGUCGCGAUCUUCUUCUGAGGAUCGACCAAACAUCAACCUUUAUCUUUUAACUCUUUGUCUGAAAAAUAUUAUGAAUAAACAAUUCAAAU